This 301-nucleotide ribosomal RNA is filed under the name uncultured bacterium. Its description in RNAcentral is "partial 16S ribosomal RNA". It matches the Rfam family "Bacterial small subunit ribosomal RNA", at positions 509 to 807 of the family's 1533-position model. The record is from RNAcentral.
CAGCCGCCGCGGGAAUACAGAGGAUGCAAGCGUUAUCCGGAAUGAUUGGGCGUAAAGCGUCUGUAGGUGGCUCUUCAAGUCCGCCGUCAAAUCCCCGGGCUCAACCUGGGAAUGGCGCUUGUGACUGCAAAGCUAGAGUGCGGCAGAGGGGGAUGGAAUUCCGCGUGUAGCAGUGAAAUGCGUAGAUAUGCGGAGGAACACCGAUGGCGAAGGCAAUCCCCUGGGCCUGCACUGACGCUCAUGCACGAAAGCGUGGGGAGCAAACAGGAUUAGAUACCCGAGUAGUCCCUGUCUCUUAUAC